GGAGCAACGCCGCGUGCGGGAGGAAGGCCUGUGGGUUGUAAACCGCUUUUCUCAGGGAAGAAGUACUGACGGUACCUGAGGAAUCAGCAUCGGCUAACUCCGUGCCAGCAGCCGCGGUAAUACGGAGGAUGCAAGCGUUAUCCGGAAUUAUUGGGCGUAAAGCGUCCGCAGGCGGCUGUUCAAGUCUGCUGUCAAAGCCUGGGGCUUAACCUCGGAUAGGCAGUGGAAACUGAGUAGCUAGAGUGCGGUAGGGGUAGAGGGAAUUCCCAGUGUAGCGGUGAAAUGCGUAGAUAUUGGGAAGAACACCAGUGGCGAAGGCGCUCUNACUGG
This 330-nucleotide ribosomal RNA is filed under the name Halomicronema excentricum str. TFEP3. Its description in RNAcentral is "bacterial SSU rRNA". It matches the Rfam family "Bacterial small subunit ribosomal RNA", at positions 388 to 732 of the family's 1533-position model. The record is from RNAcentral. Lineage: Bacteria; Bacillati; Cyanobacteriota; Cyanophyceae; Nodosilineales; Nodosilineaceae.